AAGUCGUAACAAGGUCUCCGUUGGUGAACCAGCGGAGGGAUCAUUAAAAGAGUUGUAACAAACUCCCUAACCCUUUGUGAACCUCACUGUUCGUUUUGCUUUCGGCAGGCAGCCCCAGGGCGGGGCUUGCAGCCUGGGCUUCCCCAGGUGUCUGCCGCAGGGCCACUAUAAACUCUUACUGUACCAUGCUGUCUGAGUUAUCAAAAAACAAGUUAAAACUUUCAACAACGGAUCUCUUGGUUCUG
RNAcentral lists this unclassified non-coding RNA (245 nucleotides) under fungal sp. Its description in RNAcentral is "partial internal transcribed spacer region". The stretch from base 1 to 46 matches the Rfam family "Eukaryotic small subunit ribosomal RNA", at positions 1786 to 1831 of the family's 1831-position model. Lineage: Eukaryota; Fungi. The record is from RNAcentral.